UGGCUGCCUGAUUAGUUCACCCCCUGUAUCUGAGGAAAGAGAUGGAAUUACUUAGCUGCCCUUAUAAAAGAGGGCAGCAACAAUGAGGGGGAGGGGAGGGACUGUGGAAGUGCCUGGGUGCUGUGUCCAGUGUACUGACAGUGGCACGACUACUGAAAGGAACUGCUUCAGAAAACCAGAUAGACAAGAGGGGAGACUACUGGGGAGCCAUGGAGGGCUGAGGCAAGAGCCAGCUUAUGAACAUCCUUUUUGAAGUAUGCACACCAGAACUGGACACACUAAUGCAGAGUACAGUGGUAAUACCAGCCUCCCAACUCCUACUCAAUGGUCUUCUGUUGAUAUUCCAGCAUUUCUUUAAGCUCCAAGGAACAAAACAUGCCAAUUGCACAUGAGGAAUGGAGAAGAUGCUCCUUAUGCAAGUGUGCUGACUAGAUGAUCACAACAAUCCCUUCUGGCUUGGAAACUGACUCUGAUACCCUAUCAGCCUCCAUCCUCUGUGACCCAAUCCAAUGAAAGGCAUGAUCCAGGAAACUUGUGGAGAAAAGGAAAUCCUUCCACUGUGCUUGAUUUUACCUUCUGAAGGCUCCAACUCUCCCAUUAUCAACAUCAAGAGAGAAGUCUGAAAAUAAUUAACAGUUAAUGUAUCAGAACAGAUCUACACAACUGUAACAGAUGCUCAGCAUAUGUGAGUCAUCUUAAUAAAUAGCUUGUACUCUA
Molecule: long non-coding RNA, 717 nt
Organism: Chrysemys picta bellii (western painted turtle)
Lineage: Eukaryota; Metazoa; Chordata; Testudines; Emydidae
Source: RefSeq, a predicted model, not a curated record